This 1250-nucleotide small RNA is filed under the name Oryza sativa Japonica Group (Japanese rice). RNAcentral describes it as "sRNA Os01g0192700". The record is from RNAcentral. Lineage: Eukaryota; Viridiplantae; Streptophyta; Magnoliopsida; Poales; Poaceae.
ACUGGAGGUACCAAAACUUGCUGGCAGUGACCAUCUGAAUUCAGACUAGCCCAUGCAGUGUUCCACCUUCAUGAGCUUGUAUUGUCAGGCCAUCAAGGAUUCAUUCAUUUGCCAAUUGCUAAACUUUGAGCGAGAUCCGAGUCUUGAUGGGCUUCAGCUUCACUCCCAUGCUCUCCGGUGACAGAAGUUCAGGCGAUAUACAGAAUGGGUUCAGUGUGCUCCGGGGGCUGCUAUCCAGCUGGGAAGGUCUGUAGAGCCCAUAUCCCAUGAGGAAGUACUCCAUGGGGAUCAACAUCGCGUGCGGUUGCUCCUCGGUGACGAGUGACCCGCAUGCCUGAACCUCGACUAGGGCGCAAUAUCUCCGGUCUAGCUUUGUGGUCAUAUGGACUGCGUCGUCGUGGAACUGUGAGUUCUCUCCCACAAAAAUCAGUGUCCGACACUGAAGCUUCUUCAACGCUUCCGUCAGGUCAUGUCUCCUGAUGGAUGGAAAAAUUCACUUGAGUAUGUUCAAAUCCUGAGAUGAACUACUUACACUUCUACAGGCUUGCACAAUCUCUGAUUCAGGGUCUUGUCCAUUCCCACGAACUUCCGUGCUAAAAUACCGCUGAAGCAAGCAUUCCUUGACUAGCCCACGACUCCCAUAAUAGUAAAGCAAGUUUAAUAAUACCUGUACCUUAUUGUACAACCACUCGCUCCAAGAAGGGGCUUUGCAUAGCGGCGAAACUAGCAUAAGGCCAAUCACUCUAUCCCGAGUAAUACUUACUGCAAAGAGGGUGAGAAUGUAGGCACCGGCAGUGACACCCAAACACAUCACAGAUCCUAAUCUUACCCGAAGAAAUCAAGAACAUCCGCGACUUGAUCCACAAGCUCAUCAACAGAUGGCACGGGCACAUCGGAUGAAAUUGGAGCCGCUCCCAACUCAUGACCUUGAGGAGUGAUGUGGUAAAUACAAAAAUUGUGAAGCAACAGCGACGCGGCCUCUGGGCAGAAGAACAAUCCUUGAAAGCAAGACAUAUAAUUUAGAGCUACAUCCGGGUAUGUUAUGAGCGCCGGCUUGUCUUCAUCUCCAAAUACAGAAACAGAUACAGAGCCAUAUCUGGUUCGCACUCGCGCACGGACCUUGCCGCCGAAGGAGAUCCGCUCCACGUCGAUGGACACCGACCGGCUCGAGUCCCCCAUGCCGCCCCGCUCCCCUUCUAGAAGCUUCUCCUCCUCCUCCUCCUCCUCCUCCUCUGCCACCAACCUCUCCU